CUCUCCAGUGCCAGCAGAUGAAAGGAUAUUCAGUUCAUGCUCUGAGCAGCAUUUUCAUUUCCUCUGGGUCUUGUGGGCUCCUGCGAUUGACCAAGUCACUUUGCAGCCAUGCCCCCUCAUCUUUUGGCAUCUCGGACUCCUACAGAAUAUGCAGAAGAAGGCUAAAAAUGAGAGGAAAAUUCCAAUAUGGAGGACACAAAGCAAUGGAGCAUUUUGAGGAUUGAACUACUUCAUCAUAAUUGUGCAACAUUACUAGAGAAAUCAAGGCCAGAAUCAUCUAAAUCCUCAAAAUCUCCAGUAAUUCAAUAUUAUCACUUUCUUAGAAGAGUGUGAUGUUAUAUACAGGUGCCCCGGCAGGAGAGACAAAGCAACAAGACAACUAGAGUAUUUCCUGGAUCUCCCUGGGUGGCAGAGAUGCUGGAGGUGAAGAAGAACAGGAGAAAGACCUUAGCAGAUCACUUAAACUGUCCAUGAAACUGUGGUCUUAGCUUUUGCUGAGUGUUUAAAAGGCAAAGAUGUGAUUGAACAUGGAAAGAGGAAACAUCAGAGAUUCUCUGUGUGCACUUCCACAAGAAAGUGGAUAUGUAUAUAGGCUUACAGGACCACACGGAAAGCUAAGUCUCUUCAAGAGAAGACUCUUAUGAGAGAAACAGAAUAUACAAUGUGAGAUGGAGGUUUCUUUGGGAAUGAGUGGUAGCUGUGAGCUGCAUUUAGUUCAAGUACCUGUCACUUGUGCGCUGCUGACCAAGUGUACAUCGCCCUCCCCAUUUCAUUUGCUAUCACAAAUUAUUGAAUCCAAGUCCUGCUUCAUUAUCUCUGUGUAAAAAGGUUCAAACUUCCAAUGUCGGGCUUGGGGAGAAUCAAGAAUUUCCACUAACUAUGCAGUUCACCUGCAGACUUAACAAAACAAGUUUGUGUUGUGGGUUUUCUUCUUGUUCCUGUUAAAUUGGCCUUUUGAAGACUAAGGGCUUGUGAGCUUUGCAUGUUAAAGGCUAAACUCUUGUUAUAGUGAAACUGAUUUUUUUAAGGCUUGAGGGAGUUUGAAGGUAAAUUGAAAAGGAGCGCCAUGGAGUCCUUGUGCAAGUCAUUCACCUUGUAGAGCUCUAGGCUGAGAGCGCUCAAAUGCCACUCAACAAGCUGAAAACCAACUCAUUUAAAUAACAAGCACAAACUCCACUUGGGAUCCACACCGAGGCAUUUGUGGAUUGUGCGGCCUGAACUCCCAAACAACAUUAUUUGAAGAAAAAAAGGAGUAAUUCCUUUUUUAAAGUGGUAAUUCAGGGAUCAAGUCUCAAAAGCAUUUGAACAUUUCAAGGACUAUUGCUAUACUAAAUUGUUCUUAACUACAAGUAUUAAAGUUUAAAAGGAACAGACUACUGUUUUCAAAUUCAAAUCAUUAGCUUCAUGUCUCACAAGGAUAAUAAAUCUAUGCAUAUUCUUGUCACUUUAGCAGAAAGUACAAUAUUUGUGCUUUAAAAAUGGAAAGUUAAUUCUUGCUAACAAGUGAUGGAGAAGAUGUCUUGAUGGCUCAGAAAUGAUACACAAGAACAAAACCUAAAAUUCCUAUAUCCAAUACCGAUCUAAUAAAAAUAUUUUGCAGAGUUAACACUCAUAUUUCAUGGACAAAAAAUGCAACUUGAACCACUAAAUAAAAAGAUAUCACAUCUGGCCAGUGAAGUCCAUUGGUUCAGAUCUUUGCUAACUGGAAUGCCAAGUGCUGCUAUAUAUUUGUUCUAUAAUUAUAACUUUCUCAGGUCUUUUAAAAUGCCAUAGUUAGACUUCAGUAGAAGUGUUUGCAGCAGGUUUGGACACCUUCAUAUUUAAAAGGUUUGCCAUUACUAAAAACCAAUGCAUUUUCAACAACAUGAAAGAAUAUUUGCUAAUGUUCACUUUGAAUGAAAAUAUUUAUCCAUAAGACUAUUUAACUUCCUGUUGAAAAUUCAGGUAUUUCACCUGAUCACCAUCAAUUUUGAAGAUUUUUAGUUCCCCCAAAAAAGGCAAGAUGCUAAUUUUUUCUUCUUUAAAAUGAAGAAAAAUACAUACCUUAGAAAGGUACCCUGUGGCGUCUAAGAUGACAAAUUUUACAAAAGUCUCUCUUUGAAGUCAGCUGAGUUCAUAAUUUUAUUGGUUUUAACAGAAUUUUUAUUGAUUCAAAAGUGAUUUUAAAGUCCUUUUUUAGAUCUGAAUGUUAUUCAAAAACUACUCAAAAACUAGAUCAUAUUCAAGAAACAAAAAGUGAGCAAGAUCUCCAGAAAUAUCUUAGUUCCUAUGAUGACUUUUAGAGUAGUUUUGUUAAAUUGAAAUGUCGUUAAGUUAGAACUAGGCACCUCCUUUUUAGCUGUUGUAAAAUGAUGAAUGGUGCAAGAAAUACAUGCAGAUGUAAUGCAAGUGUGUGACUUAAAGCAGAAGCAAUAGGUAGGAACUGAAAUGUCUGUUUUCAAACUCCGAUUCAUCACAGUGUUAUUUUUCUGUAUUAGUUUUUUAAGAUAGUUUUGAGACAAGUCCUACAAUUCGUAUACAAUUAAAGUUCCCAUUCAGGCAAUGGGAACUUUGCCCACUUCCAGGAGUACAAGCUGCAGCACUUGGCCCUAAGAAUUUAAUAUAGCUAUAAUGACUCAUUAUUGAAUGUUUAGUUUAAUAACAACUGCUUAUUAAGUGUAUUAAUCUCAGCUGAUGAAAGCAAAAUCGUUUAGUGAAAAGCUGUUUUUCUUUACAUUAGUGUGCAAUUAUUUAACUGAAAGUUUCAAAGAGACACAUCUAAUUACAGUGCUGCUUUAAAAGUAUUUAAGCAUCAGUUACUAAAAUAUAGUUUGAAAUAUGCUUAUGGACCUCCUGUAGAGUUGUUAAAAAGCAAAAUUCUGGUUUCAGAUUAUUACUUACAAUAGGUUUCCUUUCAAUACUUACCAAUUUCUUACAAAAUCUGCUUAAUGUACAGGAUUGAACUGUCUCCUGUAAAACAGAACAAGAAGGUGCAAGAACUUCUGUGUGUGCAGAAUGUGUAUGUCUGUGGUCAGGCUGAGAUUACUGACUGAAGAUCAAAAUUAGUGAUACACAUUUACAAUUAAGAAUCCCUUUGCUGAAUUGGGAUUUAUGGGGAAAGCAUAUAGUAUCUAUCUAAAAGAAGUCUGCCAGUCAGUUCUCUGUAAUUAGAGAAAUAAAGAAUUUAUCUGCCACAAAACUAAUUCUGCUUGCCAUUUAACAUCUUCAAAUGUUUGUCCUCAAACUACACAUACUUGCCUGUAAGAAAAUAAUGAAAUUAUCUUGAUUGUUUGCUGUUGUUUUAGUCACCUGGGUUUUUUUAGGGAUACUUGUUCCUCCAUCACAUAUUUCCAGCAGUUUAUGGAUGACAGAUAAGCAAUGCGUAUCUCUCCUCAGGAGUCCCUGCCAAGCUCUGUACGCCUGGCACGUAUGAAAAGAACAGAAAAGGUAUCUUUGGUGAGUAAUGUAGCAUGUCAAAAGUCUACUAAAAUUCUGGUUGGUCAAAGACAGAUAAGAUAUUUGGAUAAAAGGAGGCAGAGCCCUGAACAGGCAUAUGGAUGAUAAGAGCCAGGUACUUUUCCAGCAACUUUAUCCUGCAAAGAAAGGGUGAUGCGAUAGAGGUGCUCAUCUGCUGAACCUGAGCAGAGACAGUAGGAGUCUGACAGUUCCCAGCCUCUGAAAAAAUUCUCUGCCCUAUGGCUUAGACACAUAAUAACUGUCCUUGCUGAACUAUUGAAGUACAGGUUUUCAGUCUUUCACACAUGUAAGACAUGAACUGUGCCAUGCUGUGCCAUGAAGGCUCCAGCCAGUCCUUGCCUGGGGCUGGAAAAUUCCAGUGCUGGAGCAGCCAGCCCCAGGGAAGCUCCGUGCUCCUGCCAUGGCUGUGGCUUGUGCAGGGGUGUGCAGGACUCCUGCUGUACUGGAGCUGGUGUGGUGGGAGGGGGUCCUGACCUUGGCAUCUUUUAUAUCUUCAGGAAGAGGAAUUUUCCUGCUUUGAUGUCCCCUCCUGCAGACCCACUCUCCAACCCCUCCACACCCACUCAGGGUACUCAUGGUCAAAUGGGCUCACCCUCCCUUCCUUCCUUCCUUCCUUCCUUCCUUCCUUCCUUCCGAAUU
Molecule: long non-coding RNA, 4095 nt
Organism: Corvus hawaiiensis (hawaiian crow)
Lineage: Eukaryota; Metazoa; Chordata; Aves; Passeriformes; Corvidae
Exons: 6
Source: RefSeq, a predicted model, not a curated record